GCCUUUGCUAGUUGGCGGGGAGAAUGGAAAUCACCGCUAUCUUGUGAUAGCCUUGGGUUAAUCUUAGUUUUAACAUAAUUUUAAGUCUUAACUUGCAUGCAAUUUACUUAAUAGGUGACACUUCCCCAUCGGUAGGGGAAAUGCACAAGGUAUUUUGCAUCAAAGAGGGUGUAUCACCCUUGGAGAUGCUGGGAAGUGGAGAUAUUCUUGAGAAAUUCAAGAGUUUUUUACUUCUCUACUCUACUAAGUAUCUUUAAGAGUGAGAGACUCUCAUAGAUACUGUAGAGUACAACAUUCACGCCUGGCGGUCCUUAGUUUAGUGAUAAGUUCAAUCUAUGAUUAGCAACUAUUUAUCAUCAUUUUUUGAUACUUUAAAAUUAGAGAUAUUCUUGAGAAAUUCAAGGGUUCUCUAAUGAGUAUCAUUGAGAGUAAGAAACUCUUAUUGAUACUGUCUUGUACAAACAUACACUCCUGUUGAUUCAGGUAUUCUCUUAGUUCAGUCCAAGUUAAGAUUUGUAACUGUUUAUCUACAUUAUAUAAAAUUGCUUUGUUUUGUAAGUGCUUUACAAGUUUGUUGCAGCUUAGCCUACCAAAUGAAUCCAAGUGCACCAUUGUAGAUAUUUUUUAAAAGCAGGAUUGAUGAACAACUAAACAAACAAUAUUGUGGAGAUACAUGUGAAUUAUAAUGGAGAUGCCACCAGCUAUUCAAUGCAUUGGAGAGCAGCUCUACUACCAAAGUGGAGAUGUGGAUCACUGGAUGUGGAUUGAUGAACAACUAAACAAACAAUAUUGUGGAGAUACAUGUGAAUUAUAAUGGAGAUGCCACCAGCUAUUCAAUGCAUUGGAGAGCAGCUCUACUACCAAAGUGGAGAUGUGGAUCACUGGAUGUGGUAUGAGAUAUCUGGUAUUUAUAUUUUCAGUAGUCUAGACAGGAUAGAAUUCUCUAACACUUCCCUAUUCUAACACAGAUAUCAAGCUAGGGCCGGGAUGUUUAUGGUGGUUACUAUUAUGACACAGUUCAUCCCGACCCUUUCGGCAGUGCCAUGUUCUAUCCGGUUGGUUCUGAGUCCAAUGGGUGCUUUCAAGUUAGAGUCAACUGACCUGCAGAUCGCAUUUCCGCGUGCCAACAACUGGACGAACAUGUGCUACUGUUAGAUUGUGGUUUAUGGAUGGCUGUGGAGUAAGAAAAUCACCUUGAAUAGGGUUUGAGUUGUCAGGGUCCCUGUAGGAUAUUUGCAGUUGUCAGUCGACUAUUACAUUUCUGAUCAGUGCCCUUUGUGGUGGUGCCACAGCUUUUUCAUGAUGGUUGCGGGCUCAGUACAGCACUAAUUUGAUGAGCAGGUGGUACUGUUACACUGUGGCCUGGUCUGACUUGUUCUAUGAGACUGGCGAUGCAAAUAUUAGAUUGUAGUGCCUUCAGCAAACUUAGGGAUGGGGGUGUGAGAAUUAUCUGUCUUAAGAAUUAGAAUUAAGAAAAAUACGUUUAUAUCUGAG
RNAcentral lists this long non-coding RNA (1494 nucleotides) under Nilaparvata lugens (brown planthopper). RNAcentral's name for it is "uncharacterized LOC120353981". Lineage: Eukaryota; Metazoa; Arthropoda; Insecta; Hemiptera; Delphacidae. The record is from RNAcentral.